GGGUCAGUAGGUUGGUCGUGCCACCGGUACGUACUGGUCUCACUGAUUCCUCCUUCCUGAAGAACCGUAAUGCCAUUAAUUUGGUGUUGCGGGGAAGCAGGACUGUUACUUUGAAAAAAUUAGAGUGUUUAAAGCAAGCUAACGCUUGAAUACAUUAGCAUGGAAUAAUGAAAUAGGACGAUCGAUCCUAUUUUGUUGGUUUCUAGGAUUGACGUA
Molecule: ribosomal RNA, 216 nt
Filed under: Glomeromycotina sp.
Lineage: Eukaryota; Fungi; Glomeromycota
Description: partial small subunit ribosomal RNA
Rfam family: Eukaryotic small subunit ribosomal RNA (bases 40-216)
Source: RNAcentral